RNAcentral lists this ribosomal RNA (449 nucleotides) under uncultured bacterium. RNAcentral describes it as "bacterial SSU rRNA". It matches the Rfam family "Bacterial small subunit ribosomal RNA", at positions 329 to 795 of the family's 1533-position model. The record is from RNAcentral.
GUCCAGACUCCUACGGGAGGCAGCAGUGGGGAAUAUUGCACAAUGGGGGGAACCCUGAUGCAGCGACGCCGCGUGAGUGAAGAAGUAUUUCGGUAUGUAAAGCUCUAUCAGCAGGGAAGAAAAUGACGGUACCUGACUAAGAAGCCCCGGCUAACUACGUGCCAGCAGCCGCGGUAAUACGUAGGGGGCAAGCGUUAUCCGGAUUUACUGGGUGUAAAGGGAGCGUAGACGGCAUGGCAAGUCAGAUGUGAAAGCCCGGGGCUCAACCCCGGGACUGCAUUUGAAACUGUCAGGCUGGAGUGCAGGAGAGGUAAGUGGAAUUCCUAGUGUAGCGGUGAAAUGCGUAGAUAUCAGGAGGAACACCGGUGGCGAAGGCGGCCUGCUGGACUGCAACUGACGUUGAGGCCCGAAAGCGUGGGGAGCAAACAGGAUUAGAUACCCCAGUACCC